GAUUACAAUUCCCAGAAUUUAUAAACAGCAGAUGAAACUCAAAUACUUUGGCCACCUAAUGGGCCACCUAGUGGAAGGACUCACUGGAGAAGAGCCUAAUGUUGGGAAAGAUUGAGGGCAAAAGAAGAAAGGGACGAGGUGGCUGGAUGGAGUCACUGAAGCGGUAGGCAUCAGCUUAAAUGGAUUCCAGAGGAUGGUAGAAGACAGGAAGGUCUGGAGGAACAUUGUCCAUAGGGUUGCGAUGAGUCGGACACGACUUCGAACUAACAACAAAUAAACAGCAUGGUCAUUGCUACCAUAUCCAUGCAGACCAAAUUUAAAUAUGAUGAACAUAGUCUCUCCUCAGAAACCAAUUUAAGAUGUCAUCUGAACCAACAAAUAUUCCAUUUACACUGAAAUUACUUUCCCUGUUGACAUUAUUACAACUGUUAGCUGUGUGAAAGGAGGUGAUCUGAAGUCAACUGAAAAUACUCCAAUAAAACAAAAAUGAAUUAAACCUGGAAUGGCUAAAGAUUAUUUUCUUUUGCCUUCUUAUGUAAGUAAACAUAAAUUAUUGAUAAACAUAAAUGGCUCUCUUAAGAGCAGUUUUGUUUUCAAUGUAUAGUACUUGUCAAUGCAUAGAGUUUUAUCAAUGCUGUCUAUAAUACUCCAAACUUUAUUUUUGAUUAUGUGCAAACAAGCUACUCUAACUGAAGGAAGAGUAAUACCCUCAAAUCAGGGGUGAAACGAUUUUUGUGUAUUUGAUGUUUGAAUAAUGUUAGGAGGUAUCUUCCUCCUUCUCUUUGGUCUUUCUUUUUUUCUUUUUUUUUUCCUUUAUUUCUUUUCCCCUCUCUUAUUUUUUUUAAUUCUCUUCUUAAUUUUUCUUGUUAUAUCUUUAUUCUUUUUUUCCUCUCUCUCUCUGUUUCCUUUUUAUUUUUUAUUGCUAUUAUUAUUAUUAUCCUUACUAUCCUCUCUCUUUACUUUUACCUUAAUU
Pantherophis guttatus is the source of this 973-nucleotide long non-coding RNA. RefSeq lists it as uncharacterized. The record is from RefSeq and is a predicted model, not a curated record. NCBI's taxonomy places the organism in Eukaryota, Metazoa, Chordata, Lepidosauria, Squamata, Colubridae.